Molecule: unclassified non-coding RNA, 1133 nt
Filed under: Hevea brasiliensis (rubber tree)
Lineage: Eukaryota; Viridiplantae; Streptophyta; Magnoliopsida; Malpighiales; Euphorbiaceae
Source: RNAcentral
GGUCAAAUGGCAUUUCUACUGACAGGAUUUGGACUCAUGGUAGUAGGAGCUGGUGGAGUCCGCCCAUGUAAUUUAGCAUUUGGAGCAGACCAAUUCAACCCAAAAACUGAAUCUGGAAAGAAGGGUAUUAAUAGCUUCUUCAACUGGUACUUCUUCACGUUCACGUUCGCCAUGAUGAUAUCUCUUACUCUAAUUGUUUACGUUCAAGCCAAUGUUAGCUGGGCAAUAGGCUUAGCAAUUCCAGCAAUUCUGAUGCUCAUUGCUUGUAUACUCUUCUUCUCGGGUUCAAAAAUCUAUGUCAAAGUGAAAGCUAAUGGCAGCCCAAUGACCAGCGUAGCACAGGUUAUAGUAGUUGCGAUCAAGAAAAGACGGUUGAAGCCAGUAGAGCAACCUUGGUUCUCCCUUUUCAAUUAUACUCCUCCCACGUCUAUCAAUGCCAAGCUUUCUUACACGGAUCAAUUCAGAUUCCUUGACAAAGCAGCAAUUAGGACUCUCGAAGACAAAAUAAACCCUGACGGAUCACCAGCUGAUCCGUGGAAGCUUUGCAGUCUGCAGCAAGUGGAAGAAGUGAAAUGCCUGUUGAGAGUGAUUCCCAUAUGGGUAUCAGAUGUUGUAUUCUUUAUUGCUAUAGUUCAACAGCAAACUUACGCCGUCUUCCAAGCAGUUCAAAGCGAUAGACGCCUUGGAAGCAGCAAUUUCAAAGUCCCAGCUGCGUCCUACGGGGUGUUCAUGAUGCUAAGUUUAACCAUCUUUAUACCUAUCUACGACCGAAUCUUUGUGCCAUUUCUCCAGAGGCUAACAGGUAAAGAGGGUGGCAUCACAAUUCUUCAAAGAAUUGGGAUUGGCAUAAUUUUAUCAGCUCUCGCAAUGUUAGUCUCCGCCUUGGUUGAAGAGAAGAGGAGGACUAUAGCUCUCACCAAGCCAACUGUAGGAACAGCGCCAAGAAGGGGUGGCAUUUCAUCAAUGUCCAGUGUAUGGUUAAUUCCUCAGCUAGCACUGACAGGAUUAGCCGAAGCAUUCGGUUCCAUUGGCAUGGUUGAAUUCUACUACAAGCAAUUUCCUGAGAACAUGAGAAGCAUUGCUGGGUCUCUCUUUUUUUGUGGCAUGGCAGGGUCAAGUUAUUUAAGCAGUUU